This is a long non-coding RNA of Stomoxys calcitrans (stable fly), 659 nucleotides long. RefSeq lists it as uncharacterized. The record is from RefSeq and is a predicted model, not a curated record. The transcript has 2 exons. NCBI's taxonomy places the organism in Eukaryota, Metazoa, Arthropoda, Insecta, Diptera, Muscidae.
UUUAUUGUCGUUCAGUGUUUCACUACAGCCAGUUCAAUAUGGACAAAUUUUGGAUACAAAUACUUUCAUUGCUAAUUGUGAUCGUUGUCGCAUGUCAGUGUGCCCAAAAAUUCAAUCCCGUUGCAUCUCACGCCUUUUCAAUCAAUAUAAAUACAGGAAAUUGCCGCUAUAGGAAUCAUAUGGGAAAAUGUAUCGAAAAACAACCGUUGAAAAAAAAAAUAACCGGAAAUGUAAUGCCGUACCCAGUUAAAAAUAAGAUUCAUUCUGGAAACCACUUAUGAAAAAGCCUGGAUUAAAUAUCCUCAAUAAAAAUAUCUUGACAGAUAGUAUUGAAAUACAGUUCCAUUAUGAAAGCAUACCAGCUUUGUUCUUGUUCCAUGACAAAAACUUAAAAUAUUAAAAACAUAGUAUAUAGAAUGGGAUAAGACACCUUCAACUCUUUCAAAAAAUUUGUUUCGAUUCUAAGUGAGUGUAAAGUUACUGCUCUUUAUUCAAUAUAGGUGGAAUUCUUUAUGUACCAUGUUAGUAGUUGUAGUCAUAUUUAGUACAUUUGGUGUGGUGGUGCCUAAGGUACAAUUUUUAUUGUACAAUUGCAUUUUAUUGUAAUAACUUUGAGUAUAUAUUAUUACUAACAAAAUAAACUGCACUGUUUAAAAAUA